This 73-nucleotide transfer RNA is filed under the name Streptomyces fildesensis. Its description in RNAcentral is "tRNA-Leu". It matches the Rfam family "tRNA". Rfam says of the family: Transfer RNA (tRNA) molecules are approximately 80 nucleotides in length. Their secondary structure includes four short double-helical elements and three loops (D, anti-codon, and T loops). Lineage: Bacteria; Bacillati; Actinomycetota; Actinomycetes; Kitasatosporales; Streptomycetaceae. The record is from RNAcentral. RNAcentral also lists the same sequence under 1 other name.
GCGCCUGUACUCCAACGGCAGAGAGGCUAGUCCUAGGAACUAGUGGUUGUCAGUUCGAAUCUGACCAGGCGCA